CCUACGGGAGGCAGCAGUGAGGAAUAUUGGUCAAUGGGCGUAAGCCUGAACCAGCCAAGUCGCGUGAGGGAUGAAGGUCCUAUGGAUCGUAAACCUCUUUUAUAAGGGAAUAAAGCGCGGGACGUGUCCCGUUUUGCAUGUACUUUAUGAAUAAGGAUCGGCUAACUCCGUGCCAGCAGCCGCGGUAAUACGGAGGAUCCGAGCGUUAUCCGGAUUUAUUGGGUUUAAAGGGUGCGUAGGCGGCCUUUUAAGUCAGCGGUGAAAGUCUGCGGCUCAACCAUAGAAUUGCCGUUGAAACUGGGAGGCUUGAGUAUAUUUGAGGUAGGCGGAAUGCGUGGUGUAGCGGUGAAAUGCUUAGAUAUCACGCAGAACCCCGAUUGCGAAGGCAGCCUGCCAAGCCAUGACUGACGCUGAUGCACGAAAGCGUGGGGAUCGAACAGGAUUAGAUACCCUGGUAGUC
RNAcentral lists this ribosomal RNA (460 nucleotides) under uncultured bacterium. RNAcentral's name for it is "partial 16S ribosomal RNA". It matches the Rfam family "Bacterial small subunit ribosomal RNA", at positions 338 to 795 of the family's 1533-position model. The record is from RNAcentral.